RNAcentral lists this ribosomal RNA (253 nucleotides) under uncultured bacterium. Its description in RNAcentral is "partial 16S ribosomal RNA". It matches the Rfam family "Bacterial small subunit ribosomal RNA", at positions 524 to 776 of the family's 1533-position model. The record is from RNAcentral.
UACGAAGGUCCCAAGCGUUGUUCGGAAUCACUGGGCGUAAAGGGAGCGUAGGCGGCGUGGUAAGUCAGAUGUGAAAUCCCGGGGCUCAACCCCGGAACUGCAUCCGAUACUGCCAUGCUAGAGGAUUGGAGAGGUAGCUGGAAUUCUUGGUGUAGCAGUGAAAUGCGUAGAGAUCAAGAGGAACACUCGUGGCGAAAGCGAGCUACUGGACAAUUCCUGGCGCUGAGGCUCGAAGGCUAGGGUAGCGAAAGGG